RNAcentral lists this ribosomal RNA (253 nucleotides) under uncultured bacterium. Its description in RNAcentral is "partial 16S ribosomal RNA". It matches the Rfam family "Bacterial small subunit ribosomal RNA", at positions 524 to 776 of the family's 1533-position model. The record is from RNAcentral.
UACGGGGGGGGCAAGCGUUGUUCGGAAUUACUGGGCGUAAAGGGCUCGUAGGCGGCCAACUAAGUCGGAUGUGAAAUCCCCAGGCUCAACCUGGGAACUGCAUCCGAUACUGGAUGGCUUGAAUCCGGGAGAGGGAUGCAGAAUUCCAGGUGUAGCGGUGAAAUGCGUAGAUAUCUGGAGGAAUACCGGUGGCGAAGGCGGCAUCCUGGACCGGCAUUGACGCUGAGGAGCGAAAGCUAGGGGAGCAAGCGGG